AUUAGUCUACAUACAUAUACACACAUAUACAUUCCAAGAAAAAAGAAGACUUACCAAUCCUCAUGGCGAUGGGCUCCAAGAAGAUUCAGGUCUUCGCCGCGGUUGCGCUGCUGAUGGCUCUCCUCUCCGCGGUUGCGUCGGUGGCCAGCAGCGGCAGUUUCCAGCCGGAGCCAGAAGCUAAAUCUCGAUGCAAAAGAGUUGGAGCUUGUUCGGCUACCUUGUGCACGUCACUCUGCGACAAGCAUUCUUCAGGGUCCUGCGUUAUCAGGGGCCAGUUCGUCUACUGCUGUUGUGACCCAGUACAGAUCGCCAACGGCCCCGAUGCCCAUCGUCGUCCGCUUCUUCACUGAUCCGUCCGUUGCCGUUUUAAUUUGUUGCUUUACUUGACGCGUAUGGUUGAGGUAUUGAUUCUUUUAUACAUGCAUUUGAUGUAUGCAUGUGAAAGAAACUAGAUAAAUAACGACCUGCGUGCCUAGAUGAGUUGCUGAGUGGUGGCAUCUCCCAUGCAUUUUUGUAAUAAGACGUGAAUUGGAGUAUCGUGUGUUUUCGUACGUUUAACCGGUGUGAUUUGAAGUUGUUGAUUUUAUUUUGAAUAAGGCAAGUUAUGGCUUCCGGUUUUUUUACUGCGUUGGAUCUGCAUGUUGGAUAUCCUGAUUAUCCACUUGCUUGUUAAGCCUUCGGAUGAAAGCAAAGGAGAGAAGCUUACUCAUGUGAAUCUGAUACUUGGGACUUGGCUUCUUCAAUAGACAGCAGCCACUAAAAACAAAUAGAUAAGAGCUAAUAAACUGAAAAACAGUAUCUAAACAACAAACACAGUUUUUUUGCCUUAAGGGCACAUGUCCUCGCAAUGUAGACCACAUAAUUUGCUCUAAGAUUCGUGCCCAUCAGGAGAGAGACAAUAGAAAAUUAUCUCUCUCCUGUUGGGCAUGAAUCUCAGAGCAAAUCCUAUGGUCCACAUUGUGAGGGCAUGUGCCUUUAAGGGUAAAUUUUACUUUACCUCUAAACAACUCCUAAUGAACAACAUUAGAAGGGAUUAUUAAAAAUUGAACCACCUUAUGAGAACUAAGUACUAAUGUAACAUUUGUCAGGAUAACUACUAAGUACUGAUGUACUCCCUCUAUCCCAAAUUGUAAGUCAUUUCAAGAAUUUUGGAGAGUCAAAUUUUUCUAAGUUUGACCAAACUUAUAUGAUAAAAUAAUUAUUAUUAUGAUACCAACUAAGUAUCAUUAGAUUCUUCCUUAAUUAUAUUUUCAUAGUAUACUCACUUUACGUUACAAAUUUUAGUAUUUCUCUCUAUAAUUUUGGUCAAACGUGAAAAUGCUUUGACUCUCCAAGAUUCUUGGAAUGACUUACAAUUUGGGAUGGAGGGAGUAACAAUUGUCAGGUUCUGUCAUUCAGAGCAUAAUACAAGCAACUAGCAACCAGCAAUCAAACAUUCAAAAGAAAUUGCAAGUUUACAUCACUGUCUCCAUGUCUAGCCUUACAGGUCCCCAGGUUCAGAAAUAAUUCAGGGCACUAGCAGUCUAGCACAUGACAAUUAAGUGUUACAGGUUCAGAAAUCAGAACAUUCAGGGCACUAGCAGUGUAGCACACAACACAUUGCUCAGCAUGGUCAAAUAACUGUCUGGCAUCUAGACAUUAUUAAGCGCUUAAUCAAAUGAUGGGAAAUUAAAAUGUGCAUAAAAAUGGUCUAAUAACAAGAGGAUAGUCCAUGAUGCCUUGCUGUAUUGCUGCUUGUCAACUUGCGGUGGACAUAUCCGCGCGUGAGCACCAAAGGCCUCUAGCCUGAGUGGCUAAUUAAGGACAACCUGUGGCACUCCUUAGGUCCUAGGUUCAAUCCCCUCCGGGGCUAGGUUCACGAAUUUUCACGAUCUGAUGAGAAGAUAUUUUCUUCUUAAUGAACAACCGGUGGGGACGUCUAUGGGUGGGGUUGGAGUUCGGAAAUUUUCAUAAUCACAUUAAAUAUUUAGACACAUACAUGGAACAUUAAAUAUAGAUUAUAAAAUAAUUAAUUAUAUAGUUACAUGUAUUUUGUGAGACGAAUCUGUUAAACAUGUUACAAAUGUACUAUAGUACCAAAAAAAUGUUCUUUUCGUGAACUUAUUAAACAAGGCCCAGGGCGGGCCAAGUGAGGGAGUGAGCGAGGCCUUUCCACCGCCGAACGUUUUUAUUUGUCACUUCGUAAAGCCCAAGUUCUAUGGUCAUGCUCAGCCCACAGAUUUGUUGGCCCAAUUCACUAUUUAUCUAUCCCCCUCGUAACCACUGCUAAUCCUGAAACCUAUAGGUGUCUGCAAGGAAUUGGCGUGCAGUAGUUUUUGCAUGUACCCCCUCCGUCUCAGAAGAAUGCAAUAAGUCUCACUCUUCAAGCUUAGGUUAAUGUAGAUGUAAAAUUACGUAUUUACCUCUAUAAAACUAGAAAAUAAAAAACAAUAAUUGUAUUCCAGAAUGUUCUUCCCAUACAUGGAUAGAGUGUUGUAGUUUUUAGACAUGUAUUGUUAUUUUUAAUAGAAGGGUCCCACUAAUAAAGUUGUUUUCAAGUCUAUAUUUACUUUCUUUUUUAUACAAGAUUUGAAAGGCAACAUUAAAUUAUUUUUGAGACAAAGGGAGUACCUAAGACCUAGCCCGCUAGAGGGAGCCUAGGAUGUACUCUCUACAUUCCUAAGGUAAGUCUCAAUGGGUUUUAUUAGAGUUUUAUUGCGAACACAAGGUUGAUAUGUGUCCUUGUGGUUCGAUUUGUGAUGAGUGAUUGUCAACAUGAUCCACAAUCUUGGUUGAGUUGGUUACUAAUCGUUGGCGUGAGUUGGGUGGUGGGACAUGUCUCUUGGCUUGUGAUGUGUAGAUGUGCAGCUCGGAGGCGGUGGUCAACGACGAGGUGAAGGCCAAGUAGAGAUGUGUCGUGCCGAUGAACCUAGAGCGGUGAAGGGCGGAUGUGAGGCUUGGACUGACGGACUAGGAGGUCGGGUGAUUAGCCGUGGUGGCUGACACCUGGAACAUUGAUAAGCGCAAGUGUACAUGGGAGUCACCAUGUUGACCGAGACAAUACGAUGGACGUGCAAGUUGAGUGAGGCUCAGGAAAGACUUGGAGGGCCGGCAGUGGAGGACGUUAAUUGGUGACACGUGUCCAGCAGCGGGGAUGCGUAUGGAGUACGCUACUCAUGACGGGUUUUGCGGGUUUGGCCCUCAAAACCCGAGCAAAGGUUCUGAGGAGGAACAUAUGGCACAUGGCAGCAUCGAGGAGUUGGCGUCGAGGCUAAGCUACCUCAUGAAGGGCACCGUGCCGUUGGAUGAAAAUUAUGUCGGGUUGGACUAGAACGCCCCCGUGGCUAGCUUGUUGCUCUAAAAUAUCUAAAGGCAAAUGAGGAAUGUGUAAUAUGUCUAUAAAUAAGGAGAGAGUCUCCAAUCUUCCUCACCUCUCCCUCACCCUCUCAUUUCCGCUAAAUCCUAGGAUUAGGUCUUCUAGUUCAUGAGAGAGGUCAAAAAUUUUCUAAAUUUUUAGCAGUGUUUGUACUGAGAUUUGGAGUGGGUAUGGAGGCCCAAAUUCUCCAUGUGCCCUUUGGGAUUCUGAAAUUGAAGUUAUGAUUUUCGUUAACUGUGUUCUGGAUUCACAAACAGCUAUUGCUUCGAAAUAGUAUAAAAGUUUGUGGUGACAGGCAUACGUAACAACUCAUAUUUUAUUGAGUUUUAAAAUUGAACAUCAAAAUAUGCCUCAUAAGGAUGGACAAAAAGAGUAGCCAAUAACUGCACCUAUUGAAGACAUGACAUAUUAGCACCCAUAACAAAUACUUUCUGAAAUUCAAUAUACUCUAUCAAGAUCCUUGAAGAAAAUAUAUCAAGCAAUAACAGUACACAAAUAAAGGAACACACAUAACAGUAUGAAUUGAUUUUCCAAGAUCCUUUGCCUGUGGCUCCGGCCUAUAUAAACAUGCGCCCACAGAACGAUCGAACAAACAUCAAGAAACCAUUAGUCUACAUACAUAUACACACAUAUACAUUCCAAGAAAAAAGAAGGCUUACCAAACCUCAUGGCGAUGGGCUCCAAGAAGAUUCAGGUCUUCGCCGCGGUUGCGCUGCUGAUGGCUCUCCUCUCCGCGGUUGCGUCGGUGGCCAGCAGCGGCAGUUUCCAGCCGGAGCCAGAAGCUAAAUCUCGAUGCAAAAGAGUUGGAGCUUGUUCGGCUACCUUGUGCACGUCACUCUGCGACAAGCAUUCUUCAGGGUCCUGCGUUAUCAGGGGCCAGUUCGUCUACUGCUGUUGUGACCCAGUACAGAUCGCCAACGGCCCCGAUGCCCAUCGUCGUCCGCUUCUUCAGUGAUCCGUCUGUUGCCAUUUUAAUUUAUUGCUUUACUUGACACGUACGGUUGAGUAUUGAUUCUUUUACGCAUGCAUUUGAUGUAUGCAUGUGAAAGAAACUAGAUAAAUAACGACCUGCGUGCCCAGAUGAGUUGCUGAGUGGUGGCAUCUCCCAUGCAUUUUUGUAAUACAAGUCGUGAAUUGGAGUAUUGUGUGUUUUCAUAUGUUUUUGAACCGGUACGAUUUGUAGUUCUUGAUUUUAUUUUGAACAAGGCAAGUUAUUCAGUUUGGUUUGAGAAGUUUCUUAGGUGACCUAACCUAUGGCUUCCGGUUUUUUUACUGCG
Molecule: long non-coding RNA, 4632 nt
Filed under: Sorghum bicolor (sorghum)
Lineage: Eukaryota; Viridiplantae; Streptophyta; Magnoliopsida; Poales; Poaceae
Description: long non-coding RNA (SBIC_LNC007803)
Source: RNAcentral